Molecule: ribosomal RNA, 253 nt
Filed under: uncultured bacterium
Lineage: Bacteria
Description: partial 16S ribosomal RNA
Rfam family: Bacterial small subunit ribosomal RNA
Source: RNAcentral
UACGUAGGGGGCUAGCGUUGUCCGGAAUCAUUGGGCGUAAAGCGCGUGUAGGCGGCCCGGUAAGUCCGCUGUGAAAGUCCAGGGCUCAACCCUGGGAUGCCGGUGGAUACUGUCGGGCUCGAGUCCGGAAGAGGCGAGUGGAAUUCCUGGUGUAGCGGUGAAAUGCGCAGAUAUCAGGAGGAACACCGGUGGCGAAGGCGGUUCUCUGGGCCUGUACUGACGCUGAGGAACGAAAGCGUGGGGAGCGAACAGG